UCCUACGGGGGGCAGCAGUGGGGAAUAUUGGUCAAUGGUCGGGAGACUGAACCAGCCAAGCCGCGUGAGGGAGGAAGGUACAGAGUAUCGUAAACCUCUUUUGUCAGGGAACAAAGGCGGGGACGUGUCCCCGGAUGAGUGUACCUGAAGAAAAAGCAUCGGCUAACUCCGUGCCAGCAGCCGCGGUAAUACGGAGGAUGCGAGCGGUAUCCGGAUUUAUUGGGUUUAAAGGGUGCGCAGGCGGUCUGUUAAGUCAGCUGUCAAAGCCCGGGGCUCAACCCCGGCCCGCCGUUGAAACUGGCAGG
This 305-nucleotide ribosomal RNA is filed under the name uncultured bacterium. RNAcentral describes it as "bacterial SSU rRNA". It matches the Rfam family "Bacterial small subunit ribosomal RNA", at positions 337 to 640 of the family's 1533-position model. The record is from RNAcentral.